Cyprinus carpio carpio is the source of this 1566-nucleotide long non-coding RNA. NCBI's taxonomy places the organism in Eukaryota, Metazoa, Chordata, Actinopteri, Cypriniformes, Cyprinidae. The record is from Ensembl.
AUGAUGAACCGAACCUUCGGGAUCAUUGAACUGAAGCUCCCGGGAUUUGUGGCUCAUGACUGGGAAGUGUGGUUCACCGAGAAGCUCAUCCCUGUCCUCCCCAGUUUCACCGCAGGAAUGCUGCUUAAGGUCACAGCUGACAUCAACUGCACCAACUACCAUGUGAUCGUUGAGGGAAUGGGAGAUGUUUUCGACAAAAUGACAUUCACCAGGAGGCAGGAGAUGACCAGGGUUCUGGUGGAGCACCUGAAGCAAUUUGCCGUCCCAUACAACAGUCCAGAUUGCAGAAAGGACAUCGGAAACGAUGCUGAGUGGCUUGACAUCAACUUGGGUCUAUUCUCCACGGUGGCCAAUUACUCAGACCUCAAGGAGCUGAACAUCAGUGGGGUAAAUCACCUAUUUUUAUUAUGUUUCUCUUCUCACACAGCUUUAAGGGAGUUCUUGGCUGGUAGUGAUUUUUGGUUGUUUAUUUGUUUUCUUUUUGUUUUCUUUUUUUUUCUUCAUGUCUUUGGGAAGAGAGCAAAUCACCAACCGUCAUGCGUUAUUUACUUUGUGUCUGGGUUUUGUUCACCUUAGCUGGCAGCUUUGGAAUCCCUGUCACCUGACCAGAAAGCAGAGCUGCUGUUGGAUCCGUCCACCGGUGCUCUUGAAAAUGUGACCGUGGUGAAGGAGGUGUUGAGCAGCAUCCUAAAAGCCCCAGAUGAGGAGCAGCUAGAGAAAUUCUUUGAAACGUUUGUGGAGGUCAGCAAGGAGGUGAGUCUUUUUACAAUUUAUUCUUGUUUUUUUUUGUUUUUUUCUCAGUGCAAUUUAUCUAUAAUUGCUUAGACCAAGAAUGUGCUGCUUGUGGGCAAGGAGGCCGUGCUAGAAGGUCCUGUCGUGGUGCUAAAUGUAUCUCUUCCCCCACCCUCCCCUCUCAGGAAAAACAUCACCUACAUCACAAACGCGGAAGUCCGGGGACGCAAUACUGAACCUGACUUUGACGGCUCUGGCUCCCAAAUUCCCUCUCUUCCAAACCAGUGACUAUGAGCUGUGGUUCCAAAUUAAUCUCGUGGUCCUGCUGGCCAGCUUCAGUCCUUCAGUUUUGGUGGUGAUCCCCGCCAACCUCACCUGCGACUCUUACGACGCAAUGUAAACAAUCUGGCUCCCUUGGUUUCUUGUCUUAAUUCAGUGAAUAGAAGUAAAUGUUGAGAUUUUCCAUUUUUUUGCACGUUUCCACAGAUUGAAAGGCAUGGAGAGCGCUUUGGCGGUUCUCCCAACUGGAGUUGGAGUGGAGCUGAAGUCAAGCAUAGACAAACUUCGACAGUCACCACCAGAAGGUAUGGCCUGAGCAGCUCCCUUCAAAUACGUAAAGAUCGCAGUGUUGUUCUUUGGUAAACCAAAAGAGUCCUUACCAAAUGCAGGUGAAUGUAAGCAAUUUGCAAGUGGCCUCCCAUUGACAGAAAUCUUGUUUGUCUUGGUUUUUCCCUCAGGCUGCACGCCCCCUCGCCCUGUGGGUUUUCGUAAGUACUUCAUUGUCGUACAUGGGUUAUGGGUAAAGUUCAAGCCCAUUAGAAGCUGUACAUAAUG